This 267-nucleotide ribosomal RNA is filed under the name uncultured bacterium. Its description in RNAcentral is "partial 16S ribosomal RNA". It matches the Rfam family "Bacterial small subunit ribosomal RNA", at positions 87 to 353 of the family's 1533-position model. The record is from RNAcentral.
UAUGGCGACCGGCGCACGGGUGAGUAACACGUAUCCAACCUGCCGAUGACUCGGGGAUAGCCUUUCGAAAGAAAGAUUAAUACCCGAUGGCAUAGCUCUUCCGCAUGGUGGAACUAUUAAAGAAUUUCGGUCAUCGAUGGGGAUGCGUUCCAUUAGGUUGUUGGCGGGGUAACGGCCCACCAAGCCUUCGAUGGAUAGGGGUUCUGAGAGGAAGGUCCCCCACAUUGGAACUGAGACACGGUCCAAACUCCUACGGGAGGCAGCAUG